Molecule: long non-coding RNA, 648 nt
Organism: Mauremys reevesii (Reeves's turtle)
Lineage: Eukaryota; Metazoa; Chordata; Testudines; Geoemydidae
Exons: 4
Source: RefSeq, a predicted model, not a curated record
CUUAGUGCCACCUCUCGCUGUGACCCUGCCGUACACUUUGGGCCUAUAUGGCUGAAUAGGGCUCUGAACCCAGCUCCCUCUGGUGCUGGCAGAUCAUGGGGUCCCUUGAUGCCCACCCCGUUGGCUAAGCCAUGUUUCAGCUCUGUCUCCUGAAACAGGCCAUGAAAGCCAAGAGAGGAGGGAGGUCCCCACUGUGUUACUCUGCCUUGCCCCUACAAAGCUUGGAGCUGGUCCUGACCCGCACUCUCUCACCCAGCACUCAGCACUGCAGGAUCUGCUGCUCUGGAGCGGUGCCGCAUCACACUUGGGCAGCGCUGGAAUGCCCUGCUCAAAGCAACAGUCUGUGCGUCUCAUCCCAGGGGGGAGUCACGCCAGCCUCCAGCUAUGCAGCAUGAUGUGGGCAGAUCCCUGCUAAAAGCCAGGUUUGGAGCCAUGUUAGGACUAGAGGGUUUUCCAUAGCACCCGUCAAGCUAGUAGCAUCAUUAUCCGAACAUCUCCCUGCAUUUAAACAGCUGAGGAGCUUGUCUAUCGUUCGGACCCAGAUCCAUGCUGGCUCUUUAGGGAAAUAAUAAGAAAACAACCCAAACUGCUUGAGGCCUCUUUCUGUGUAGGGUAGAAUGAAUGACAGGGAUUCCUUGGGCUUAGGGG